CCUACGGGGUGCUGCAGUGGGGGAUAUUGCACAAUGGGGGGAACCCUGAUGCAGCGACGCCGCGUGGGUGAAGAAGCGCCUCGGCGCGUAAAGCCCUGUCAGCAGGGAAGAAAAUGACGGUACCUGAAGAAGAAGCCCCGGCUAACUACGUGCCAGCAGCCGCGGUAAUACGUAGGGGGCAAGCGUUAUCCGGAUUUACUGGGUGGAAAGGGGGCGCAGACGGCGAUGCAAGCCAGGAGUGAAAGCCCGGGGCCCAACCCCGGGACUGCUCUUGGAACUGCGUGGCUGGAGUGCAGGAGGGGCAGGCGGAAUUCCUGGUGUAGCGGUGAAAUGCGUAGAUAUCAGGAGGAACACCGGUGGCGAAGGCGGCCUGCUGGACUGCAACUGACGUUGAGGCCCGAAAGCGUGGGGAGCAAACAGGAUUAGAUACCCUGGUAGUC
This 440-nucleotide ribosomal RNA is filed under the name uncultured bacterium. RNAcentral describes it as "partial 16S ribosomal RNA". It matches the Rfam family "Bacterial small subunit ribosomal RNA", at positions 338 to 795 of the family's 1533-position model. The record is from RNAcentral.